This 495-nucleotide ribosomal RNA is filed under the name uncultured bacterium. RNAcentral describes it as "partial 16S ribosomal RNA". It matches the Rfam family "Bacterial small subunit ribosomal RNA", at positions 28 to 505 of the family's 1533-position model. The record is from RNAcentral.
GAUGAACGCUGGCGGCGUGCCUAAUACAUGCAAGUCGAGCGAACAGACGAGGAGCUUGCUCCUCUGACGUUAGCGGCGGACGGGUGAGUAACACGUGGAUAACCUACCUAUAAGACUGGGAUAACUUCGGGAAACCGGAGCUAAUACCGGAUAAUAUAUUGAACCGCAUGGUUCAAUAGUGAAAGACGGUUUUGCUGUCACUUAUAGAUGGAUCCGCGCCGCAUUAGCUAGUUGGUAAGGUAACGGCUUACCAAGGCAACGAUGCGUAGCCGACCUGAGAGGGAGAUGCGCCACUCUGAAACAGAGACACUGUACAGACCCCUACGGGGGGGAACAGGAGAAUAUCCUGCAAAAUGGGCAAAAGCCAGACAGAACCACGCCGUGAGUGAGAAGAGUCUUCUGAUCUUGUAACUCUCUGUUUAUGGAAAAAAACAAGUGUAUAAGUAUCUACACGUGUCGAGAGUAUCCCAAAAGAAAAAGCCGGGGCUCACUGCG